RNAcentral lists this ribosomal RNA (2763 nucleotides) under Escherichia coli. RNAcentral describes it as "23S ribosomal RNA". It matches the Rfam family "Bacterial large subunit ribosomal RNA". The record is from RNAcentral. Lineage: Bacteria; Pseudomonadati; Pseudomonadota; Gammaproteobacteria; Enterobacterales; Enterobacteriaceae.
ACACACUAUCAUUAACUGAAUCCAUAGGUUAAUGAGGCGAACCGGGGGAACUGAAACAUCUAAGUACCCCGAGGAAAAGAAAUCAACCGAGAUUCCCCCAGUAGCGGCGAGCGAACGGGGAGGAGCCCAGAGCCUGAAUCAGUGUGUGUGUUAGUGGAAGCGUCUGGAAAGGCGUGCGAUACAGGGUGACAGCCCCGUACACAAAAAUGCACAUAUUGUGAGCUCGAUGAGUAGGGCGGGACACGUGGUAUCCUGUCUGAAUAUGGGGGGACCAUCCUCCAAGGCUAAAUACUCCUGACUGACCGAUAGUGAACCAGUACCGUGAGGGAAAGGCGAAAAGAACCCCGGCGAGGGGAGUGAAAAAGAACCUGAAACCGUGUACGUACAAGCAGUGGGAGCCUCUUAAUGGGGUGACUGCGUACCUUUUGUAUAAUGGGUCAGCGACUUAUAUUCUGUAGCAAGGUUAACCGAAUAGGGGAGCCGAAGGGAAACCGAGUCUUAACUGGGCGUUAAGUUGCAGGGUAUAGACCCGAAACCCGGUGAUCUAGCCAUGGGCAGGUUGAAGGUUGGGUAACACUAACUGGAGGACCGAACCGACUAAUGUUGAAAAAUUAGCGGAUGACUUGUGGCUGGGGGUGAAAGGCCAAUCAAACCGGGAGAUAGCUGGUUCUCCCCGAAAGCUAUUUAGGUAGCGCCUCGUGAAUUCAUCUCCGGGGGUAGAGCACUGUUUCGGCAAGGGGGUCAUCCCGACUUACCAACCCGAUGCAAACUGCGAAUACCGGAGAAUGUUAUCACGGGAGACACACGGCGGGUGCUAACGUCCGUCGUGAAGAGGGAAACAACCCAGACCGCCAGCUAAGGUCCCAAAGUCAUGGUUAAGUGGGAAACGAUGUGGGAAGGCCCAGACAGCCAGGAUGUUGGCUUAGAAGCAGCCAUCAUUUAAAGAAAGCGUAAUAGCUCACUGGUCGAGUCGGCCUGCGCGGAAGAUGUAACGGGGCUAAACCAUGCACCGAAGCUGCGGCAGCGACGCUUAUGCGUUGUUGGGUAGGGGAGCGUUCUGUAAGCCUGUGAAGGUGGCCUGUGAGGGUUGCUGGAGGUAUCAGAAGUGCGAAUGCUGACAUAAGUAACGAUAAAGCGGGUGAAAAGCCCGCUCGCCGGAAGACCAAGGGUUCCUGUCCAACGUUAAUCGGGGCAGGGUGAGUCGACCCCUAAGGCGAGGCCGAAAGGCGUAGUCGAUGGGAAACAGGUUAAUAUUCCUGUACUUGGUGUUACUGCGAAGGGGGGACGGAGAAGGCUAUGUUGGCCGGGCGACGGUUGUCCCGGUUUAAGCGUGUAGGCUGGUUUUCCAGGCAAAUCCGGAAAACCAAGGCUGAGGCGUGAUGACGAGGCACUACGGUGCUGAAGCGACAAAUGCCCUGCUUCCAGGAAAAGCCUCUAAGCAUCAGGUAACAUCAAAUCGUACCCCAAACCGACACAGGUGGUCAGGUAGAGAAUACCAAGGCGCUUGAGAGAACUCGGGUGAAGGAACUAGGCAAAAUGGUGCCGUAACUUCGGGAGAAGGCACGCUGAUAUGUAGGUGAAGCGACUUGCUCGUGGAGCUGAAAUCAGUCGAAGAUACCAGCUGGCUGCAACUGUUUAUUAAAAACACAGCACUGUGCAAACACGAAAGUGGACGUAUACGGUGUGACGCCUGCCCGGUGCCGGAAGGUUAAUUGAUGGGGUUAGCGGUAACGCGAAGCUCUUGAUCGAAGCCCCGGUAAACGGCGGCCGUAACUAUAACGGUCCUAAGGUAGCGAAAUUCCUUGUCGGGUAAGUUCCGACCUGCACGAAUGGCGUAAUGAUGGCCAGGCUGUCUCCACCCGAGACUCAGUGAAAUUGAACUCGCUGUGAAGAUGCAGUGUACCCGCGGCAAGACGGAAAGACCCCGUGAACCUUUACUAUAGCUUGACACUGAACAUUGAGCCUUGAUGUGUAGGAUAGGUGGGAGGCUUUGAAGUGUGGACGCCAGUCUGCAUGGAGCCGACCUUGAAAUACCACCCUUUAAUGUUUGAUGUUCUAACGUUGGCCCGUAAUCCGGGUUGCGGACAGUGUCUGGUGGGUAGUUUGACUGGGGCGGUCUCCUCCUAAAGAGUAACGGAGGAGCACGAAGGUUGGCUAAUCCUGGUCGGACAUCAGGAGGUUAGUGCAAUGGCAUAAGCCAGCUUGACUGCGAGCGUGACGGCGCGAGCAGGUGCGAAAGCAGGUCAUAGUGAUCCGGUGGUUCUGAAUGGAAGGGCCAUCGCUCAACGGAUAAAAGGUACUCCGGGGAUAACAGGCUGAUACCGCCCAAGAGUUCAUAUCGACGGCGGUGUUUGGCACCUCGAUGUCGGCUCAUCACAUCCUGGGGCUGAAGUAGGUCCCAAGGGUAUGGCUGUUCGCCAUUUAAAGUGGUACGCGAGCUGGGUUUAGAACGUCGUGAGACAGUUCGGUCCCUAUCUGCCGUGGGCGCUGGAGAACUGAGGGGGGCUGCUCCUAGUACGAGAGGACCGGAGUGGACGCAUCACUGGUGUUCGGGUUGUCAUGCCAAUGGCACUGCCCGGUAGCUAAAUGCGGAAGAGAUAAGUGCUGAAAGCAUCUAAGCACGAAACUUGCCCCGAGAUGAGUUCUCCCUGAGACUUAGAGUCUCCUGAAGGAACGUUGAAGACGACGACGUUGAUAGGCCGGGUGUGUAAGCGCAGCGAUGCGUUGAGCUAACCGGUACUAAUGAACCGUGAGGCUUAACCU